UAGCUACAUCAUUCAACCAUGAAGACUACACUCUUUUUCCCUUAAGCAAAGUUUUAUCCCAAGUGGUUUUCUUUGCUAAGGUUUUUAACGAGGUAGUUCUUUGUGUGUUGCAAGCUUGGUCCUUGGUCCCCGCCGAUCAAGCUUGAGGGGGAGUGUUAAGAAGAAAAGGCUAACCCGAAGCCUAAGGCCGAAAGUCUACAAGACGAGGCCAAGUUGGUGUGGUUCAAGGAAGCAUGACUUGACCACGCUCAUCAAGUUCAAGCUUUAACCUUCGUCCCUUACGGUUAAAGCU
RNAcentral lists this long non-coding RNA (292 nucleotides) under Arabidopsis lyrata. RNAcentral describes it as "long non-coding RNA (ALYR_LNC000183)". The record is from RNAcentral. Lineage: Eukaryota; Viridiplantae; Streptophyta; Magnoliopsida; Brassicales; Brassicaceae.